GAACGAUAAACUUCGUCGACGAAGGGACGACGUCGUUCUUCUGACAGCAGUCAGCGCUUCGCGACUCCCGCUACUUUUGGCACCGUUCUUUUCUUAUGUUUUUUUUUAUUCGAGGGAAAUCGGAAUUUGUUGAAAGUUUUUGGCGCUUUGUUUACACUAAGUCUGAGUUUUCUUUUGUGAAUGAAGAGCAGCUCGUGUGAAGUGGUGGAAGAUGUGUGUGAUUCGAACGCUGCUGCGCCUUGUGGUGGAAUGUUCUGUUUUAUUUAUCGAACGUAUCACAAAUCCUUUAAGUUUGGGACAGUUUAAAUCAGUCCAUCGGAAAAUUUGCGCCUCGGUCGAGAAUUUCAAAGAAUGAUACAUAAGCUGAGCUGAGCGAUUGUUGGAGUCCGUCUUUCCGCUGGCUUAACACAUCACAACAUCAUCGAACGAAGCGUAAAUUGGAUGCGUUUCAGCAGCGCGUAUAGCAUCGAGUCCGACAAUAACACUUAAUUCAAAAUCCCGCCAGAGUAUGACUUUUUAAUGCGAUUCUUUAUUGGCGACCGAAUGGAUGUGGAAGACGAAUUUACACAACGCGUUCGGGAAGAAAGUUGACAUCCCGUCGGCUGGUGUCGAAACGAGACAAUAAUCGUUGGGAACCACGGGAGCUGCUGCUGCUGCUGCAAAAGUGCUGUUUUGUUACAUAUGAUGUGCACACCUAAACUCUAAGAGCUUGCCGAUAUUAUUAGCGAUGCGAGAUUUUCGACACGAGGAACACCUAUUAAAAGUGAUUGAUAAUUGUUUUGACACGAGACAGUGAACAAAUUCCUAUCUUUAUGUUCGAUAGACGCAUACAAAAACUGUUGUUCUGCUGCUGGCUGGCGGAGGUUCGAGACUUUCCGCGAUUUUAUGUGGGUCUGAUGGUUUUCUGACGUCGUGCAUUGCUCGGCUGUUGCAUGAUCCCGAUACCAGGGAAGGAAUUGAUGAAAUACCGUCUGAAACUGGUCCCCGAGCUGCUCAUUUGCAGUUAAUUGUGCAUUUUUCAUGCUUCAUUCCUGAAAUAAUCAAUUUUAUUGUCGUUUUCUGUCGAUGAAACAAGCAAUGAGUGUAAAUAAAACCAAUUCUCCUUUUGGGACAAA
This is a long non-coding RNA of Toxorhynchites rutilus septentrionalis, 1115 nucleotides long. RefSeq lists it as uncharacterized. The transcript is spliced from 2 exons. The record is from RefSeq and is a predicted model, not a curated record. Lineage: Eukaryota; Metazoa; Arthropoda; Insecta; Diptera; Culicidae.